GGGCUUCUUUAAGGUCCGCAUGGGAGAGCGUUCGGUUCGCAUCCGAGAGGUCAAGGGUUCGAAUCCCUCUAGGUCCACCA
RNAcentral lists this transfer RNA (80 nucleotides) under Faecalibacterium sp. AF27-11BH. RNAcentral describes it as "tRNA-Ala". Lineage: Bacteria; Bacillati; Bacillota; Clostridia; Eubacteriales; Oscillospiraceae. The record is from RNAcentral.